RNAcentral lists this long non-coding RNA (497 nucleotides) under Zostera marina. RNAcentral's name for it is "long non-coding RNA (ZMAR_LNC000852)". Lineage: Eukaryota; Viridiplantae; Streptophyta; Magnoliopsida; Alismatales; Zosteraceae. The record is from RNAcentral.
CCUCAUUUUAUCCCAUGUUCUCACUUUUUUUUUUUGGUGUUUUGCCCUUAGAUAUACUGUUUGAUCCCACCAGCUUUGUGCUGUCCCUUUUAAUCUUAGAGCCACUAACUUCACUUUCCUUGACUCGGGGGUGUUCAUAUAAUCAAAAUAUUUUUCCACCUCCGAAAUCCAAUCCAAAAAUGUUUCAAUAUGCAUUUGGCCAUUGAAUUGGGGAAGAUCUAUCUUCAUGCGAUAGUCAUUGUAGUCAUCUCCAUAAUUAUUUUCAUAUUGAUCCACCGCACCACCUCUGACUUGUUGAUAAUUUCUGUUAUUUCUCUGAAAAUAUCUCCGAUCGUUUCUCCUCCUAUACUGCCUAAAUUCAGGCUGAAACAGGUCUGGAUCAGCUUCAUCUGACGAAUCUGAAUCUGGUUGUUGCUGCUGAUUCCGAUUUGGUUGCUGCUGGCGAUCGGGUAGUUCUUGCCUUGGCGGUAAUGGAGGUUGCUGAAUAGCUGGUCUGC